UGGGGAAUAUUGCACAAUGGGCGCAAGCCUGAUGCAGCCAUGCCGCGUGUGUGAAGAAGGCCUUCGGGUUGUAAAGCACUUUCAGCGGGGAGGAAGGCGUUAAGGUUAAUAACCUUGGCGAUUGACGUUACCCGCAGAAGAAGCACCGGCUAACUCCGUGCCAGCAGCCGCGGUAAUACGGAGGGUGCAAGCGUUAAUCGGAAUUACUGGGCGUAAAGCGCACGCAGGCGGUCUGUCAAGUCGGAUGUGAAAUCCCCGGGCUCGACCUGGGAACUGCAUUCGAAACUGGCAGGCUAGAGUCUUGUAGAGGGGGGUAGAAUUCCAGGUGUAGCGGUGAAAUGCGUAGAGAUCUGGAGGAAUACCGGUGGCGAAGGCGGCCCCCUGGACGAAGACUGACGCUCAGGUGCGAAAGCGUGGGGAGCAAACAGG
This 429-nucleotide ribosomal RNA is filed under the name Chloroflexota bacterium. Its description in RNAcentral is "Chloroflexi bacterium partial 16S ribosomal RNA". It matches the Rfam family "Bacterial small subunit ribosomal RNA", at positions 355 to 776 of the family's 1533-position model. The record is from RNAcentral. Lineage: Bacteria; Bacillati; Chloroflexota.